RNAcentral lists this unclassified non-coding RNA (343 nucleotides) under Borreliella valaisiana. Its description in RNAcentral is "partial contains 5S-23S ribosomal RNA intergenic spacer and 23S ribosomal RNA". The stretch from base 215 to 343 matches the Rfam family "Bacterial large subunit ribosomal RNA", at positions 1 to 129 of the family's 2925-position model. Lineage: Bacteria; Pseudomonadati; Spirochaetota; Spirochaetia; Spirochaetales; Borreliaceae. The record is from RNAcentral.
GAGUUCGCGGGAGAGUAGGUUAUUGCCAGGGUUUUUAUUUUGUACUUUAAAUCCUAAAUUUAUUUUUUAUAUUUUUAUAAUGUUCAUGUUUUUGAAUGUUUUAUUCAAAUAAUGUAAAAAAUAAAAUAGAUAUUGACAUGGAUUGAACAAAAGAUAUAUAUUAUUUUAUGUUGCAUAAACAAAUUGGCAAAAUAGAGAUGGAAGAUAAAAAUAUGGUCAAAGUAAUAAGAGUCUAUGGUGAAUGCCUAGGAGCUUUAAGGCGAAGAAGGUCGUGGUAAGCUUAGUAAGGCACGGGGGAGGGGCAAACAUUUAUUGAUCCCAAGAUUACCGAAUGGAGUAAUCC